RNAcentral lists this ribosomal RNA (460 nucleotides) under uncultured bacterium. RNAcentral's name for it is "partial 16S ribosomal RNA". It matches the Rfam family "Bacterial small subunit ribosomal RNA", at positions 338 to 795 of the family's 1533-position model. The record is from RNAcentral.
CCUACGGGUGGCUGCAGUGAGGAAUAUUGGUCAAUGGACGCGAGUCUGAACCAGCCAUGCCGCGUGCAGGAAGACGGCUCUAUGAGUUGUAAACUUCUUUUGUACGAGAGUAAACGCAGAUACGCGUACCUGUCUGAAUGUAUCUUACGAAUAAGGAUCGGCUAACUCCGUGCCAGCAGCCGCGGUAAUACGGAGGAUUCAAGCGUUAUCCGGAUUUAUUGGGUUUAAAGGGUGCGUAGACGGUUGGAUAAGUCAGUGGUGAAAUUUUGCGGCUCAACUGCGAAAUUGCCUUUGAUACUGGUAGGCUAGAGAGUAGUUGAGGUAGGCGGAAUGUAUGGUGUAGCGGUGAAAUGCUUAGAUAUCAUAAAGAACACCGAUUGCGAAGGCAGCCUACCAAGCUGCUUCUGACGUUGAGGCACGAAAGCGUGGGGAGCAAACAGGAUUAGAUACCCGUGUAGUC